AUAUUUGAAACCCACCCACCUCUCCAUAAUCGAAGUAAGACCGAUUUUUUUAUUUAAAAAGAGUUGGGCCUAGAAUUUUGACUUGGAAUUCGAUGAACAUACCUGUUAUGAUGGCGAGCCAGUGACAGUACUUUUUUCUAAACAAAGGACGAGAUUGUGCGGAGCAGUUCGUCUGCUUUGGAAAUAGUUAAUCUGGUCCAGAAGUCGCGUUGACGUGAGCACGUUACUGAGAAUUAUUAAAAGGAAAUUGGUGUUUAGGGCAGUAAGGAAGCAAAAUGUUUCUUCUAUCGAUUUGACAAGGGACAAGUCGACUGUUUGACCAUUCUGAUCUUCUGAUUCAUAAUUCUAAAGGCCUUGCUUUUAUUGUCUAAUGUCUAACAAUGUUGGUAGUGAAACACAACUUUGUUGUGGCUUUAUGAGAAUCCAAAAUCCCUUUCUCAAAUGGAAAGAGAGAGACUUGACUGUACACAAACAUUUAUACUAAACACAUUGUGUUAUUAUGCAAUUGAUUAUAGUUUAUUUUUAAUCUUACUACAUGUUUCCAAGUGGUAGAUUAAUAAUUGUAGGGAAUUGAAAGAGAUUGCACUCGUAAAAUUUUUCAAACCUUUUCCUUGCAAAUUCUUCAUUAGGCUCUUGUAGUUAUAUCAAAGUUGUCUUGUGGCUACCAAUGGCGGCACUACCUUGUUUGACUGCAGCUAGUUUUAUUUGUAGUCUGUGAAAAGAAAA
This is a long non-coding RNA of Daphnia magna, 726 nucleotides long. RefSeq lists it as uncharacterized. The transcript has 2 exons. NCBI's taxonomy places the organism in Eukaryota, Metazoa, Arthropoda, Branchiopoda, Diplostraca, Daphniidae. The record is from RefSeq and is a predicted model, not a curated record.